Molecule: ribosomal RNA, 292 nt
Filed under: uncultured bacterium
Lineage: Bacteria
Description: partial 16S ribosomal RNA
Source: RNAcentral
GGACUACCAGGGUAUCUAAUCCUGUUUGCUCCCCACGCUUUCGUGUUUCAGUGUCAGAAAUGGGCCAAGGAGCUGCCUUCGCCAUCGGUGUUCCUCUCGAUAUCUACGCAUUUUACCGCUACUCCGAGAAUUCCACUCCUCUCUCCCAUCCUCUAGCAUACUAGUUUCCACCGCGAUUUCCCGGUUAGGCCAGGAGAUUUAACAACAGACUUAAUACACCACCUACACACCCUUUACGCCCAGUAAUUCCGAAUAACGCUUGCACCCUUCGUAUUACCGCGGCUGCUGGCAC